AGUCGAGCGAGCUUGCCUAGAUGAUUUUAGUGCUUGCCUAAAUGAAACUAGAUACAAGCGAGCGGCGGACGGGUGAGUAACACGUGGGUAACCUGCCCAAGAGACUGGGAUAACACCUGGAAACAGAUGCUAAUACCGGAUAACAACACUAGACGCAUGUCUAGAGUUUGAAAGAUGGUUCUGCUAUCACUCUUGGAUGGACCUGCGGUGCAUUAGCUAGUUGGUAAGGUAACGGCUUACCAAGGCAAUGAUGCAUAGCCGAGUUGAGAGACUGAUCGGCCACAUUGGGACUGAGACACGGCCCAAACUCCUACGGGAGGCAGCAGUAGGGAAUCUUCCACAAUGGACGAAAGUCUGAUGGAGCAACGCCGCGUGAGUGAAGAAGGGUUUCGGCUCGUAAAGCUCUGUUGGUAGUGAAGAAAGAUAGAGGUAGUAACUGGCCUUUAUUUGACGGUAAUUACUUAGAAAGUCACGGCUAACUACGUGCCAGCAGCCGCGGUAAUACGUAGGUGGCAAGCGUUGUCCGGAUUUAUUGGGCGUAAAGCGAGUGCAGGCGGUUCAAUAAGUCUGAUGUGAAAGCCUUCGGCUCAACCGGAGAAUUGCAUCAGAAACUGUUGAACUUGAGUGCAGAAGAGGAGAGUGGAACUCCAUGUGUAGCGGUGGAAUGCGUAGAUAUAUGGAAGAACACCAGUGGCGAAGGCGGCUCUCUGGUCUGCAACUGACGCUGAGGCUCGAAAGCAUGGGUAGCGAACAGGAUUAGAUACCCUGGUAGUCCAUGCCG
Molecule: ribosomal RNA, 781 nt
Filed under: uncultured bacterium
Lineage: Bacteria
Description: bacterial SSU rRNA
Rfam family: Bacterial small subunit ribosomal RNA
Source: RNAcentral